UAAGGGAUAUUGGUCAAUGGGCGAAAGCCUGAACCAGCAACGCCGCGUGCAGGAUGACGGCCUUCGGGUUGUAAACUGCUUUGGAAGGGGACGAGCAAGGACGGUACCCUUCGAACAAGUCACGGCUAACUACGUGCCAGCAGCCGCGGUAAAGCGUAGGUGGCGAGCGUUAUCCGGAUUUACUGGGCGUAAAGCAUGUGCAGACGGGUUGGUAAGUGGUGUAUGAAAGCGUCCGGCUUAACCGGGCAAGCGUAGGCCAGACUGCCAGUCUUGAGAGUGGGAGAGGGAUGUGGAAUUCCGGGUGUAGUGGUGAAAUGCGUAGAGAUCCGGAGGAACCCCAGAGGCGAAGGCGGCGUCCUGGCCCAUUUCUGACGUUCAGACAUGACAGCAUGGGGAGCGAAC
RNAcentral lists this ribosomal RNA (402 nucleotides) under uncultured bacterium. Its description in RNAcentral is "bacterial SSU rRNA". It matches the Rfam family "Bacterial small subunit ribosomal RNA", at positions 355 to 773 of the family's 1533-position model. The record is from RNAcentral.